Oncorhynchus tshawytscha (Chinook salmon) is the source of this 1138-nucleotide long non-coding RNA. NCBI's taxonomy places the organism in Eukaryota, Metazoa, Chordata, Actinopteri, Salmoniformes, Salmonidae. The record is from Ensembl.
GCAGAGUGUUUUCUCCUCCACAGUGGAGCAGAGAGGCGAUGAAGGAUACAGUCUGUUCAGUCGCUGUAACAACAUAAUAUAACCAUGUAACCAUUUAAUCAAAUCGGAUUUAUUAACAUAGAAAUUCAUAUGCAAAGACAUACUACACAAGGAGAUACUUUUUCAAGAAUUGAAUACAAAACUUUUGGAUGAACAAUGAAAUAAAAUCAAGUAUGAGUUCUCAGUCGUCACCCUCCUCCUCUUCUCUCUGACAGGUGUGUGAGGUAUUAGCGUGUAGUACAGUGUCCACAGACACUAGACUCCUGAGACACUGUAGAACAGCCAGGAUCAGAUGAUACAUACAGGACACUGACUCCACACCUGAACUAGAGCCAGAGCUUGACCAAACUGUCAUCUCCUUUACCCCUGACCCAGACCUUGACCUAGUGUCAGCCUGGACCAUAUUAGAACCAUCCACUACCAGAACAGCACUGUCUCCAGCGGGUCCGGAGAGUUACCAUGGUUACGUAUGCAGCUGAGAGUGUGUGCGAGAGCCUCAAGGUAGCGCCGAGGAUUGUGGGAGUAGAUCUGUCUGGGCACACUCAGUAGGGCCUCUGCUAACAUCCCCGAGGCGGCAGGGGUGUCCAAGUGUGACGGAGUGUGCGUGUCUGUGUUUGACGGAGUGUGCGUGUCUGUGUUUGACGGAGUGUGCGUGUCUGUGUUUGACGGAGUGUGCGUGUCUGUGUUUGACGGAGUGUGCGUGUCUGUGUUUGACGGAGUGUGCAUGUCUGUGUUUGACGGAGUGUGCGUGUCUGUGUUUGACGGAGUGUGCGUGUCUGUGUUUGAUGGAGGGUGUGGUGCUCCAUCACGUCUGUGUGUGUGUUUGUGUGUGUGUCUGUGUGUGUGUAAGCGGUUCUUUCUGUAGCUCCAGUCCUGUGUUUGGGCCCCCAGGUAGUAGUAUGCAGCAUGUGUAGAGCAUCUCGUACAGCACAUACACUCUGUUCCGCCUGGCCCUCUGUCUGUCCACACACAAGCAGACUGUGGGGUCUGCCCCUGUCCUCUGCCUUAGGAAACCCCACAUUGACGAACCUGGGAGAGAGAGAAAACCACAUAAUUAGCAUAGUGUGUAUGUGUGUGUUUGUGUGUGUGCGCGCGUGUA